Molecule: transfer RNA, 75 nt
Filed under: Alphaproteobacteria bacterium
Lineage: Bacteria; Pseudomonadati; Pseudomonadota; Alphaproteobacteria
Description: tRNA-Gln
Rfam family: tRNA
About the family: Transfer RNA (tRNA) molecules are approximately 80 nucleotides in length.
Source: RNAcentral
UGGGGCGUCGCCAAGUGGUAAGGCACCGGUUUUUGGUAUCGGCAUCCGCAGGUUCGAAUCCUGCCACCCCAGCCA